UUAAGCUACUAAGAGCGUAGGGUGAAUGCCUUGGCACCAAGAGCCGAUGAAGGACGUGAUAAGCUGCGAAAAGCUGUGAGUAGGAGCAAAUAUCCAUUUAAUCACAGAUGUCCGAAUGAGGGAACUCAGGUCGUGGAAAAAGACGGCCUAUCUAUACAUGAGUAAAGUAGUGUAUAGAGGGGAACGUGGGGAACUGAAACAUCUAAGUACCCACAGGAAAAGAAAGAAAACUCGAUUCCUAAAGUAGUGGCGAGCAAAAUAGGAAGAGCCUAAACCAGAAGAAGUAAUUCAUCUGGGGUUAUGGACUACAUAAUUGAUUCAAGAGAUUUAGCAGAAUUGUUUGGAAAGACAGACCAAAGAUAGUGAAAGUCUAGUAUGCGAAAAAUCAAUUGACAUGGUAGUAUCCGGAGUAGUGCGAGACACGUGAAAUCUCGUAUGAAGAUUGGGGGACCACCCCCAAAGGCUAAAUACUACUUGGUGACCGAUAGUGAAGCAGUACCGUGAGGGAAAGGUGAAAAGAACCCCGGGAGGGGAGUGAAAAAGAACCUGAAACCCUAUGUUUACAAGCAGAUAGAGCACGUUAAUGUGCGAUAUCGUACUUUUUGUAGAACGGUCCGGCGAGUUAUUUUAUAUGGCAAGAUUAAGUACUUAAGGUACGAAGUCGAAGAGAAAUCGAGUCUGAAAAGGGCGAAAAAGUCAUAUGAAAUAGACCCGAAACCGAGUGACCUAUCCAUGGUCAGGAUGAAGCUUGAGUAAAAUCAAGUGGAGGUCCGAACUCAUAAGCGUUAAAAAGCUUCGGGAUGAACUGUGGAUAGCGGAGAAAUUCCAAUCGAACUCGGAGAUAGCUGGUUCUCCUCGAAAUAGUUUUAGGACUAGCCUUGUUAAGUAGUAUAUGGGGGUAGAGCACUGAAGGAGCUAGGGGCCAAACCAGGUUACUGAACUCUAUCAAACUCCGAAUACCAUAUACGUAAAAACAGGAGUCAGACUGCGGGAGCUAAGUUCCGUGGUCAAAAGGGAAAGAGCCCAGAUCGUCAAUUAAGGUCCCAAAGAUAUAGUUAAGUGGAAAACGAUGUGAUUUUGCGUAAACAACCAGGAUGUUGGCUUAGAAGCAGCCAUUCAUUUAAAGAGUGCGUAAUAGCUCACUGGUCGAGUGAAGUUGCGCGGAAAAUUACCGGGGCUAAACUAUACACCGAAAUUGCGGAUUCAUGAGUAAUCAUGAGUGGUAGAGGAGCAUUCUGUUGUAGGAAGAAGUGUGAUCGAAAGGACAUGUGGACGAAGCAGAAGAGAGAAUGCCGGAAUAAGUAGCGAAAGCAUGGUGAGAAUCCAUGCCAUCGAAAGUCUAAGGUUUCCUGGGGAAGGUUCGUCCGCCCAGGGUAAGUCGGGACCUAAGGUGAGGCCGAAAGGCGUAGCCGAUGGACAGCAGGUAGAAAUUCCUGCACUACCGAAAUACUUAAAAGAUGCAAGGGACACAGGAGUGGAAGGAAAGCGAGGAAGAGGAAAGACUCGUAUCGAAAGAUAUAGUGAAAAUUAAAGUAACGAAUUUCCAAGAAGCACACUGGCGAGAAAAGCUUGUAGAUAUUGUAUAGAGGUACCCGUACCGCAAACCGACACAGGUAGAUGAGGAGAGGAUCCUAAGAUGAGCGAGAGAAGCAUUGUUAAGGAACUCGGCAAACCAACCCCGUAACUUAGGGAGAAGGGGUGCCUAUGUAAAAAUAGGCCGCAGAGAAGAGGCCCAAGCAACUGUUUAACAAAAACACAGGUUUCUGCUAAAUCGAAAGAUGAAGUAUAGGAGCUGACGCCUGCCCAGUGCUGGAAGGUUAAGGGAAAAUGUAAGUACAGAAGUAUGAAGCAUAGAACCAAAGCCCCAGUGAACGGCGGCCGUAACUAUAACGGUCCUAAGGUAGCGAAAUUCCUUGUCAGGUAAGUUCUGACCCGC
RNAcentral lists this ribosomal RNA (1936 nucleotides) under human gut metagenome. RNAcentral's name for it is "bacterial LSU rRNA". It matches the Rfam family "Bacterial large subunit ribosomal RNA", at positions 3 to 1991 of the family's 2925-position model. The record is from RNAcentral.